This 253-nucleotide ribosomal RNA is filed under the name uncultured bacterium. RNAcentral's name for it is "partial 16S ribosomal RNA". It matches the Rfam family "Bacterial small subunit ribosomal RNA", at positions 524 to 776 of the family's 1533-position model. The record is from RNAcentral.
UCCGGAGGGUGCGAACGUUAUCCGGAAUCACUGGGUUUAAAGGGUGCGUAGGCGGCUCGGUAAGUCAGUUGGGAAAGUCCCUUGCUUAACGAGGGAGGUGCGAUUGAUACUGUCUAGCUUGAAUCGGGAUGAGGCAGACGGAAUGUGGCAUGUAGCGGUGAAAUGCAUAGAUAUGCCAUAGAACACCGAAUGCGAAGGCAGCCUGCUGGGCCUGGAUUGACGCUGAGGCACGAAAGCGUGGGGAGCAAACUGG